RNAcentral lists this ribosomal RNA (254 nucleotides) under uncultured bacterium. Its description in RNAcentral is "partial 16S ribosomal RNA". It matches the Rfam family "Bacterial small subunit ribosomal RNA", at positions 524 to 776 of the family's 1533-position model. The record is from RNAcentral.
UACGUAGGGGGCAAGCGUUGUCCGGAAUCAUUGGGCGUAAAGAGCGUGUAGGCGGCUCGAUAAGUCUGCUGUGAAAGUCCAGGGCUCAACCCUGGAAGGCCGGUGGAAACUGUCGGGCUAGAGUCCGGAAGAGGCGAGUGGAAUUCCCGGUGUAGCGGUGAAAUGCGCAGAUAUCAGGAGGAACACCAAUGGCGAAGGCAGCUCGCUGGGACGGUACUGACGCUGAGGCGCGAAAGCGUGGGGGAGCAAACAGG